Molecule: unclassified non-coding RNA, 375 nt
Filed under: plant metagenome
Description: partial contains 5.8S ribosomal RNA, internal transcribed spacer 2, and large subunit ribosomal RNA
Rfam family: 5.8S ribosomal RNA (bases 1-107)
Source: RNAcentral
AAAAUGCGAUACUUGGUGUGAAUUGCAGAAUCCCGUGAACCAUCGAGUUUUUGAACGCAAGUUGCGCCCGAAGCCAUCCGGCUGAGGGCACGCCUGCCUGGGCGUCACGCAUCGCGUCGCUCCCCAUCAUACCUCCCCAACGGGUUGGCAUGGUGUUGGGGGCGGAUAAUGGCCUCCCGUGCUUGUGUUUCGGUUGGCCUAAAUAAGAGUUCCCUUCGGCGGACACACGACUAGUGGUGGUUGAAUAGACCCUCGUCUUUUGUUGCGUGUCGUGAGCUGUAAGGGUAGCCCUCAUCAAAGACCCCAUUGUAUCGUCUUCGGAUGAUGCUUCGACCGCGACCCCAGGUCAGGCGGGACUACCCGCUGAGUUUAAGC